RNAcentral lists this ribosomal RNA (402 nucleotides) under uncultured bacterium. RNAcentral describes it as "bacterial SSU rRNA". It matches the Rfam family "Bacterial small subunit ribosomal RNA", at positions 357 to 776 of the family's 1533-position model. The record is from RNAcentral.
GGGAAUAUUGCACAAUGGGGGAAACCCUGAUGCAGCGACGCCGCGUGAGUGAGGAAGUAUUUCGGUAUGUAAAGCUCUAUCAGCAGGGAAGAAAAUGACGGUACCUGACUAAGAAGCCCCGGCUAACUACGUGCCAGCAGCCGCGGUAAUACGUAGGGGGCAAGCGUUAUCCGGAUUUACUGGGUGUAAAGGGAGCGUAGACGGUUAUGCAAGUCUGGAGUGAAAGCCCGGGGCUCAACCCCCGGACUGCUCUGGAAACUAUGUGACUGGAGUGCAGGAGAGGUGAGCGGAAUUCCUAGUGUAGCGGUGAAAUGCGUAGAUAUUAGGAGGAACACCAGUGGCGAAGGCGGCUCACUGGACUGUAACUGACGUUGAGGCUCGAAAGCGUGGGGAGCAAACAGG